AUGCGAGUCAAUGUUCUUCGUGAAAUGGCGAACUGCUCAGUAACACGUGGAUAAUCUACCCUUAGGUCUGGAAUAACCCCGGGAAACUGGGGAUAAUACCGGAUAGAUCAUAGAUGCUGGAAUGCCCUAUGUUCUAAAGCUCCGGCGCCUAAGGAUGAGUCUGCGGUCUAUCAGGUUGUAGUGGGUGUAACGUACCUACUAGCCGACGACGGAUACGGGUUGUGAGAGCAAGAGCCCGGAGAUGGAUUCUGAGACACGAAUCCAGGCCCUACG
This 273-nucleotide ribosomal RNA is filed under the name uncultured archaeon. RNAcentral's name for it is "partial 16S ribosomal RNA". It matches the Rfam family "Archaeal small subunit ribosomal RNA", at positions 51 to 327 of the family's 1478-position model. The record is from RNAcentral.